Long non-coding RNA from Xiphias gladius (swordfish), 579 nucleotides. RefSeq lists it as uncharacterized. The transcript has 6 exons. The record is from RefSeq and is a predicted model, not a curated record. NCBI's taxonomy places the organism in Eukaryota, Metazoa, Chordata, Actinopteri, Istiophoriformes, Xiphiidae.
AAUGGGACUCUCCUCUCUGUCUCUUCCGCUUCAUAUCCACCGUGGCGAGAGAAACGGGCCGACAUUUCAUUUCGGUUCAACCAGUAAUGGCUCUAGCUAGCUUCUCCAACCCUGGAUGUCUGCGUAGAAUGCAGGUAUUGGGUAUUGCUGAAAAUGAGGAGAAAGAGAAGACCAAAAGAGAUGCAGGUGACCCUCAUGGUUGACCAACAAGCGACUGGAUGAGGACAGCUCGUGUCAAGGAAUCGCUCUCAUGAUCCUAAAGUCUGGUAUUGUGAGGCUGCGUGGGCUCUCCAACCUUCCUGGUUAAGGUACAUGGCGUGGUGAGCACCACAAUGUGGAGCGUUGGGAAUCCUGAACUGCUGCAGGCCACCCACAAGGGGAACACUUCACUCAGAUUGACUCAACUCUGAAGCAUGAAUAUGUUUUGAUUUGUACUGUGACUUUUUGGGGAAAGUAACAGCAAUCCUUAAGUUUUCACUCAAUUCAAAACUGGCUAGAUGGUCAUUAACAUGUAAGUGGUGAAUUUCUAUUAAUGGAGAAACGGACGAGUUUGAAAACUGAAUGUAAUAAAAACAACUU